RNAcentral lists this ribosomal RNA (1149 nucleotides) under Bacillus sp. (in: firmicutes). RNAcentral's name for it is "bacterial SSU rRNA". It matches the Rfam family "Bacterial small subunit ribosomal RNA", at positions 50 to 1156 of the family's 1533-position model. The record is from RNAcentral. Lineage: Bacteria; Bacillati; Bacillota; Bacilli; Caryophanales; Bacillaceae.
AAUACAUGCAAGUCGAGCGAAUGGAUUAAGAGCUUGCUCUUAUGAAGUUAGCGGCGGACGGGUGAGUAACACGUGGGUAACCUGCCCAUAAGACUGGGAUAACUCCGGGAAACCGGGGCUAAUACCGGAUAACAUUUUGAACCGCAUGGUUCGAAAUUGAAAGGCGGCUUCGGCUGUCACUUAUGGAUGGACCCGCGUCGCAUUAGCUAGUUGGUGAGGUAACGGCUCACCAAGGCAACGAUGCGUAGCCGACCUGAGAGGGUGAUCGGCCACACUGGGACUGAGACACGGCCCAGACUCCUACGGGAGGCAGCAGUAGGGAAUCUUCCGCAAUGGACGAAAGUCUGACGGAGCAACGCCGCGUGAGUGAUGAAGGCUUUCGGGUCGUAAAACUCUGUUGUUAGGGAAGAACAAGUGCUAGUUGAAUAAGCUGGCACCUUGACGGUACCUAACCAGAAAGCCACGGCUAACUACGAGUGGCCAGCAGCCGCGGAAAUACGUAGGUGGCAAGCGUUAUCCGGAAUUAUUGGCCGUAAAGCGCGCGGCAGGUGGUUUCUUACGUCUAGAUGUGAAACCCCACGGGCUCAAUCCGUCGAAGGGUCAUUGGAAACUGGGAGACUUGAGAUGCAGAAGGAGGAGAGAGCAAUUCCAUGUGUAGCGGUGAAAUGUAUAGAGAUGUACUAGCAACGCCAUUGACGAAGGCGACUUUCUGGKCUGUAACUGACACUGAGGCGCGAAAGCGUGGGGAAGCAAACAGGCAUUAGAUACCCUGGUAGUCCAUCGCCGUAAACGAUGAGUGCUACAGUGUUAGAGGGCACUUUCCGCCCUUUAGUGACUGAAGUUAACCGCAGUUAAGCACUGCCGCCUGCAGGGAGUACGGCCGCAAGGCUGAAACUCAAAGGAAUUGACGGGGGCCCGCACAAGCGGUGGAGCAUGUGGUUCAAUUCGAAGCAACGCGAAGAACCUUACCAGGUCUUGACAUCCUCUGAAAACCCUAGAGAUAGGGCUUCUCCUUCGGGAGCAGAGUGACAGGUGGUGCAUGGUUGUCGUCAGCUCGUGUCGUGAGAUGUUGGGUUAAGUCCCGCAACGAGCGCAACCCUUGAUCUUAGUUGCCAUCAUUAAGUUGGGCACUCUAAGGUGACUGCCGGU